CCUACGGGGGACAGCAGUGAGGAAUAUUGGUCAAUGGGCGCGAGCCUGAACCAGCAAAGUAGCGUGAAGGAUGACUGCCCUACGGGUUGUAACCUUCUUUUAUAAAGGAAUAAAGUGAGGCACGUGCGCCUUUUUGUACGUCGUUUAUGAAUAAGGAUCGGCUAACUCCGUGACAGCAGCCGCGGUAAUACGUAGGAUCCGAGCGUUAUCCGGAUUUAUUGGGUUUAAAGGGAGCGUAGAUGGGUUGAUAAGUCAGUUGUGAAAGUUUGCGGCUCAACCGUAAGAUUGCAAUUGAAACUGGCAUUCUUGAGUACAGUAGAGGUAGUCGGAAUUCGUGGUGUAGCGGUGAAAUGCUUAGAUAUCACGAAGAACUCCGAUGGCGAAGGCAGCUUACUAAACAGCCACUGACAUUGAUGCUCGAAAGUGUGGGUAGCAAACAGGAUUAGAUACCCGGGUAGUC
Molecule: ribosomal RNA, 460 nt
Filed under: uncultured bacterium
Lineage: Bacteria
Description: partial 16S ribosomal RNA
Rfam family: Bacterial small subunit ribosomal RNA
Source: RNAcentral